This 1067-nucleotide ribosomal RNA is filed under the name Opopaea sp. Oon252. RNAcentral's name for it is "partial 28S ribosomal RNA". It matches the Rfam family "Eukaryotic large subunit ribosomal RNA", at positions 70 to 868 of the family's 3401-position model. Lineage: Eukaryota; Metazoa; Arthropoda; Arachnida; Araneae; Oonopidae. The record is from RNAcentral.
AGGGAUUCCCUUAGUAACAGGGAAUGAACAGGGAAGAGUCCAGCGCCGAAUUUCACGUUCUUUACGGGCGUUUGAAAAAUGUGGCGUUUAGGAAGUCACGUGCCUAGGUUGGGCUCUGCAGCAAGUCCCCCUGACCGGGGCUGUUACCCAGAGUGGGUGCGAGGCCCAUAGCUGCUAAGCCUGCUUCGGAUGUGACCUCUUGGGAGUCAGGUUGCUUGGGAGUGCAACCCCAAUUGGGUGGUAAACUCCACCUAAGACUAAAUACGGCCGUGAGACCGAUAGCAAACAAGUACCGUGAGGGAAAGUUGCAAAGAACUUUGAAGAGAGAGUUCAAGAGUACGUGAAACUGCUCAGAGGCAAACGGGUGGGCCCUCGAAAUCCUCCAGCAGGGGGAUUCAGUUAGGAAAAGCUGAGGUGAUGUGCGGCUGUCUAAACGGACCCUCUCUGGGGACGGGUUGCCAUCACGGUCUUGGUUUGACCUGACGCAUUUCCCCCUGCACAAGGACGCCGCAUCCGGUUGGGUAGCUGCGUGAGUCGGCCAUAAGAACAAGCAACGUAAGGUGGCCGGUGGUAUUGCUUCGGCUCUGCCGCCGGUUGUUAGACAGUUUGUUCGUGGCGCGACACCCGACUGAGGUUAAGUGGUUCCCUCAUGGGAACUAGCCGUCCCCUUCAUCUCGCAGCGGAUGCUUCAGCAAGUGUUUCACGGUGUCGCUUCCUCACUCUUGUAGUGUGUGGUGCUCCGUGAUCUCUGGUGGCUGAAAGCUACCCGCGGGGGUACCUACGGCUAGCGGCGAGUGAGUCGGUCACCCACCCGACCCGUCUUGAAACACGGACCAAGGAGUCUAACAUGUGCGCAAGUCACGGGGUCUUGAAUAGGCCCAGAGGCGCAAUGAAAGUGAAAGUCGGUCUUGCAUCGACUGCGUUGGGAUCUCUCGUCCUUUGUGGCGGGAGUGCACCAACGAUCCGUCCUAUCCGAUUUAUCGGUUGGCCGGAAUCGGAGCGUACACGUUGGGACCCGAAAGAUGGUGAACUAUGCUUGGGCAGGACGAAGCCGAAGGAAAUCUGGU